AGCAGCCGCGGUAAUUCCAGCUCCAAUAGCGUAUAUUAAAGUUGUUGCAGUUAAAAAGACUCGUAGUUGAAUUUCGGGAUCAAGGAAUCGGUCAUGCCUCGGUAUGUACUGGUUUUAUUGGUUCUCACCUUCUAAAGUAACCAUAAUGUCAUUCAUUUGAUGUUAUGGGGAAUUAGGACUGUUACCUUGAAAAAUUAGAAGUGUUUAAAGCUAAGGCUUACGCUUGAAUACAUUAGCAUGGAAUAAUGAAAUAGGACAUCAGAUUCUAUUUUGUUGGUUUCUAGGAUCGAUGUAAUGAUUAAUAGGGAUAGUUGGGGGCAUUAGUAUUCAAUUGUCAGAGGUGAAAUUCUUGGAUUUAUGAAGACUAACUACUGCGAAAGCAUUUGCCAAGGUAUGUUUUACAUUAAUCAAGAACGAAAGUUAGGGGAUCGAAGACGAUCAGAUACCGUCGUAGUACUUAACCAUAAAACUAUGCCGACUAGGGAUCGGAUGAUUGUUUAAUUUUAUAAUGACUCA
Molecule: ribosomal RNA, 516 nt
Filed under: uncultured Glomeraceae
Lineage: Eukaryota; Fungi; Glomeromycota; Glomeromycetes; Glomerales; Glomeraceae
Description: SSU rRNA
Rfam family: Eukaryotic small subunit ribosomal RNA
Source: RNAcentral